ACGCUCGACACCUACUGGAGGCAGCAGUGGGGAAUAUUGCACAAUGGAGGAAACUCUGAUGCAGCGACGCCGCGUGAGCGAAGAAGUAUUUCGGUAUGUAAAGCUCUAUCAGCAGGGAAGAAAAAGGACGGUACCUGACUAAGAAGCUCCGGCUAAAUACGUGCCAGCACGCCGGACGGUAAUCUGAGGCGGGCGUGGACGAAGGC
RNAcentral lists this ribosomal RNA (206 nucleotides) under uncultured bacterium. RNAcentral's name for it is "partial 16S ribosomal RNA". It matches the Rfam family "Bacterial small subunit ribosomal RNA", at positions 328 to 545 of the family's 1533-position model. The record is from RNAcentral.